GGAUUGUGGCUCAUCGGUAGGGCACUCGUCUGGCACGUGUGAGGCUCUGGGUUCGAUCCUCAGCAUCA
RNAcentral lists this transfer RNA (68 nucleotides) under Marmota monax (woodchuck). RNAcentral's name for it is "tRNA.Ala". The stretch from base 5 to 65 matches the Rfam family "tRNA", at positions 6 to 65 of the family's 71-position model. From Rfam's summary of the family: Transfer RNA (tRNA) molecules are approximately 80 nucleotides in length. Their secondary structure includes four short double-helical elements and three loops (D, anti-codon, and T loops). The record is from RNAcentral. Lineage: Eukaryota; Metazoa; Chordata; Mammalia; Rodentia; Sciuridae.